CGUCGUCCCUAGCUUUCGCGCCUCAGCGUCAGUGUCGGCCCAGCAACCCGCCUUCGCCGCAGGUGUUCCUCUCGAUAUCUACGCAUUUCACCGCUACACCGAGAAUUCCAGUUGCCCCUUCCGCACUCUAGCCCGACAGUAUCACUUGACCUAUCCGAGUUAAGCCCGGAGAUUUCACAAGUGACUUGUCGUGGCCGCCUACGCGCCCUUUACGCCCAG
RNAcentral lists this ribosomal RNA (219 nucleotides) under uncultured soil bacterium. RNAcentral's name for it is "partial 16S ribosomal RNA". The record is from RNAcentral.